This 1534-nucleotide ribosomal RNA is filed under the name Escherichia coli. RNAcentral describes it as "bacterial SSU rRNA". It matches the Rfam family "Bacterial small subunit ribosomal RNA". The record is from RNAcentral. Lineage: Bacteria; Pseudomonadati; Pseudomonadota; Gammaproteobacteria; Enterobacterales; Enterobacteriaceae.
UUGAAGAGUUUGAUCAUGGCUCAGAUUGAACGCUGGCGGCAGGCCUAACACAUGCAAGUCGAACGGUAACAGGAAUCAGCUUGCUGAUUCGCUGACGAGUGGCGGACGGGUGAGUAAUGUCUGGGAAACUGCCUGAUGGAGGGGGAUAACUACUGGAAACGGUAGCUAAUACCGCAUAACGUCGCAAGACCAAAGAGGGGGACCUUCGGGCCUCUUGCCAUCGGAUGUGCCCAGAUGGGAUUAGCUAGUAGGUGGGGUAAAGGCUCACCUAGGCGACGAUCCCUAGCUGGUCUGAGAGGAUGACCAGCCACACUGGAACUGAGACACGGUCCAGACUCCUACGGGAGGCAGCAGUGGGGAAUAUUGCACAAUGGGCGCAAGCCUGAUGCAGCCAUGCCGCGUGUAUGAAGAAGGCCUUCGGGUUGUAAAGUACUUUCAGCGGGGAGGAAGGGAGUAAAGUUAAUACCUUUGCUCAUUGACGUUACCCGCAGAAGAAGCACCGGCUAACUCCGUGCCAGCAGCCGCGGUAAUACGGAGGGUGCAAGCGUUAAUCGGAAUUACUGGGCGUAAAGCGCACGCAGGCGGUUUGUUAAGUCAGAUGUGAAAUCCCCGGGCUCAACCUGGGAACUGCAUCUGAUACUGGCAAGCUUGAGUCUCGUAGAGGGGGGUAGAAUUCCAGGUGUAGCGGUGAAAUGCGUAGAGAUCUGGAGGAAUACCGGUGGCGAAGGCGGCCCCCUGGACGAAGACUGACGCUCAGGUGCGAAAGCGUGGGGAGCAAACAGGAUUAGAUACCCUGGUAGUCCACGCCGUAAACGAUGUCGACUUGGAGGUUGUGCCCUUGAGGCGUGGCUUCCGGAGCUAACGCGUUAAGUCGACCGCACGGGAGUACGGCCGCAAGGUUAAAACUCAAAUGAAUUGACGGGGCCCGCACAAGCGGUGGAGCAUGUGGUUUAAUUCGAUGCAACGCGAAGAACCUUACCGUCUUGACAUCCACAGAACUUUCCAGAGAUGGAUUGGUGCCUUCGGGAACUGUGAGACAGGUGCUGCAUGGCUGUCGUCAGCUCGUGUUGUGAAAUGUUGGGUUAAGUCCCGCAACGAGCGCAACCCUUAUCCUUUGUUGCCAGCGGUCCGGCCGGGAACUCAAAGGAGACUGCCAGUGAUAAACUGGAGGAAGGUGGGGAUGACGUCAAGUCAUCAUGGCCCUUCCGACCAGGGCUACACACGUGCUACAAUGGCGCAUACAAAGAGAAGCGACCUCGCGAGAGCAAGCGGACCUCAUAAAGUGCGUCGUAGUCCGGAUUGGAGUCUGCAACUCGACUCCAUGAAGUCGGAAUCGCUAGUAAUCGUGGAUCAGAAUGCCACGGUGAAUACGUUCCCGGGCCUUGUACACACCGCCCGUCACACCAUGGGAGUGGGUUGCAAAAGAAGUAGGUAGCUUAACCUUCGGGAGGGCGCUUACCACUUUGUGAUUCAUGACUGGGGUGAAGUCGUAACAAGGUAACCGUAGGGGAACCUGCGGUUGGAUCACCUCCUU